Molecule: ribosomal RNA, 549 nt
Filed under: uncultured bacterium
Lineage: Bacteria
Description: partial 16S ribosomal RNA
Rfam family: Bacterial small subunit ribosomal RNA
Source: RNAcentral
UGGGGAAUCUUCCGCAAUGGACGAAAGUCUGACGGAGCAACGCCGCGUGAGUGAAGAAGGUUUUCGGAUCGUAAAACUCUGUCUUUUGGGGCGAACGUGAGUAUGGUGAACAAUCAUAGUCAGUGACGGUACCAAAGGAGGAAGCCACGGCUAACUACGUGCCAGCAGCCGCGGUAAUACGUAGGUGGCAAGCGUUGUCCGGAAUUAUUGGGCGUAAAGAGCGCGUAGGCGGGAUAGUCAGUCUGUUGUAAAGUGCGGGGCUCAACCCCGUGAUCGCAAUGGAAACAGCUAUUCUUGAGUGCAGGAGAGGAAAGUGGAAUUCCCAGUGUAGCGGUGAAAUGCGUAGAUAUUGGGAGGAACACCAGUGGCGAAGGCGACUUUCUGGACUGUGUCUGACGCUGAGGCGCGAAAGCCAGGGGGAGGCGAACGGGGAUUUAGAUACCCCGGUAGUCCUGGGCCGUAAACGAUGGGUACUAGGUGUGGGAGGUAUCGACCCCCUUCCGUGCCGGAGUUAACGCAAUAAGUACCCCGCCUGGGGAGUACGGUCGC